This 497-nucleotide ribosomal RNA is filed under the name uncultured bacterium. Its description in RNAcentral is "partial 16S ribosomal RNA". It matches the Rfam family "Bacterial small subunit ribosomal RNA", at positions 28 to 507 of the family's 1533-position model. The record is from RNAcentral.
GAUGAACGCUGGCGGCGUGCCUAAUACAUGCAAGUCGAGCGAACGGACGAGAAGCUUGCUUCUCUGAUGUUAGCGGCGGACGGGUGAGUAACACGUGGAUAACCUACCUAUAAGACUGGGAUAACUUCGGGAAACCGGAGCUAAUACCGGAUAAUAUUUUGAACCGCAUGGUUCAAAAGUGAAAGACGGUCUUGCUGUCACUUAUAGAAGGAUCCGCGCUGCAUUAGCUAGUUGGUAAGGUAACGGCUUACCAAGGCAACGCUGCAUAGCCGACCUGUGAGGGUGGUCGGCCACACUGGACCUGUGCCGCGGUCCAGACUCCUACGGUAGGCAGCAGUAGGGAAUCUUCCGCAAUGGGCGAAAGCCUGACGUAGCACCGCCGCGUGGGUGAUGAGGGUCUUCCGAUCGUAAAUCUCUGUUAUUAGUGAAUAACAUAUGUGUAAGUAACUGUGCACAUCUUGACGGUACCUAAUCAGAAAGCCACGGCUAACUACGUG